AUUGAACGCUGGCGGCAUGCUUUACACAUGCAAGUCGAACGGCAGCACGGGGGCUUGCUCCUGGUGGCGAGUGGCGAACGGGUGAGUAAUGCACCGGAACGUACCCAGUAAUGGGGGAUAACACAUCGAAAGAUGUGCUAAUACCGCAUACGCCCUGAGGGGGAAAGGCGGGGGAUCGUAAGACCUCGCGUUAUUGGAGC
RNAcentral lists this ribosomal RNA (200 nucleotides) under uncultured bacterium. RNAcentral's name for it is "partial 16S ribosomal RNA". It matches the Rfam family "Bacterial small subunit ribosomal RNA", at positions 30 to 227 of the family's 1533-position model. The record is from RNAcentral.